CAGCACCUCAAGUGGUCAGGAUGAUUAUUGGGCCUAAAGCAUCCGUAGCCGGCUCUGUAAGUUUUCGGUUAAAUCUGUAUGCUCAACAUACAGGCUGCCGGGAAUACUGCAGAUCUAGGGAGUGGGAGAGGUAGACGGUACUCGGUAGGAAGGGGUAAAAUCCUUUGAUCUAUUGAUGACCACCUGUGGCGAAGGCGGUCUACCAGAACACGUCUGACGGUGAGGGAUGAAAGCUGGGGGAGCAAACCGGAUUAGAUACCCGAGUAGUCC
RNAcentral lists this ribosomal RNA (270 nucleotides) under uncultured archaeon. Its description in RNAcentral is "partial 16S ribosomal RNA". It matches the Rfam family "Archaeal small subunit ribosomal RNA", at positions 477 to 747 of the family's 1478-position model. The record is from RNAcentral.